UUAAAGAAUUUGAAGACCUCAACUUGCAGACUUGGAGGACUUUGAAGACUUUAAUUUGCAUACUUAGAGGAUUUGAAGACUUCAACU
This is a non-coding RNA of Solanum tuberosum (potato), 87 nucleotides long. The record is from Rfam. Lineage: Eukaryota; Viridiplantae; Streptophyta; Magnoliopsida; Solanales; Solanaceae.